UGGUACUUGAGAUAACGUAAGGGAAAAUAAUGAUACUACCUUACUAUAAGUGUUGUCCAAAUUACUGGUGCCAGAAGACUCGGUAACGCCAGAAACGCAAACGUUAGUCGUCCUAAUCAGGCGUAAAGGGUAAGUAGGCUGCUUUUAAAGUUUAUUAGUUUUAUAAGCUAUCUCCUAUUUUUAGGAGAAAAAUUAAAAAUGAAUAAAAGCUAGAAUCAAGAAUAGGAUAAGCCAAAUAAUGUUUAGAGUAGGUCUGAUAUCCCCACAUACUAAAUGGAAUACUUAAGGUGAAAACUUUUAUCUAAUACUGAUUGACGCUGAGGAACGAAGGUGAGAAUAGAAAAUAGGAUUAGAGACCCAGAUAUCUCUCACUGUCAACGAUGAAUGGUAGUUGUUAGUUUCUAUACAAACUAGUAACGAUGUUAACGCGUUAACCAUUCCGCCUUGCGAGUACG
This 455-nucleotide ribosomal RNA is filed under the name Leucoagaricus rubrotinctus. RNAcentral's name for it is "SSU rRNA". It matches the Rfam family "Bacterial small subunit ribosomal RNA", at positions 439 to 884 of the family's 1533-position model. Lineage: Eukaryota; Fungi; Basidiomycota; Agaricomycetes; Agaricales; Agaricaceae. The record is from RNAcentral.